Molecule: ribosomal RNA, 459 nt
Filed under: uncultured bacterium
Lineage: Bacteria
Description: partial 16S ribosomal RNA
Rfam family: Bacterial small subunit ribosomal RNA
Source: RNAcentral
CCUACGGGGGGCAGCAGUGAGGAAUAUUGGUCAAUGGGCUUACGCCUGAACCAGCCAAGUCGCGUGAGGGAAGACUGCCCUAUGGGUUGUAAACCUCUUUUGUCAGGGAGCAAUUGGCGCUACGUGUAGCGUUAUCGAGAGUACCUGAAGAAAAAGCAUCGGCUACCUCCGUGCCAGCCGCCGCGGUAUUACGGGGGAUGGGAGUGUUAUCCGGAUUUUUUGGGUUUAAGGGGUGCGUAGGCGGAAUGCCAAGUCAGCGGUAAAAUCGCGGGGCACAACCUCGCUCCGCCGUUGAAACUGGCGUUCUUGAGUGGGCGAGAAGUAUGCGGAAUGCGUGGUGUAGCGGUGAAAUGCAUAGAUAUCACGCAGAACUCCGAUUGCGAAGGCAGCAUACCGGCGCCCAACUGACGCUGAAGCACGAAAGCGUGGGUAUCGAACAGGAUUAGAUACCCUGUAGUC